GGGUUGUGAGGUUAAGUGACUAAGCGUACACGGUGGAUGCCCUGGCAGUCAGAGGCGAUGAAGGACGUGCUAAUCUGCGAUAAGCGUCGGUAAGGUGAUAUGAACCGUUAUAACCGGCGAUUUCCGAAUGGGGAAACCCAGUGUGUUUCGACACACUAUCAUUAACUGAAUCCAUAGGUUAAUGAGGCGAACCGGGGGAACUGAAACAUCUAAGUACCCCGAGGAAAAGAAAUCAACCGAGAUUCCCCCAGUAGCGGCGAGCGAACGGGGAGCAGCCCAGAGCCUGAAUCAGUGUGUGUGUUAGUGGAAGCGUCUGGAAAGGCGCGCGAUACAGGGUGACAGCCCCGUACACAAAAAUGCACAUGCUGUGAGCUCGAUGAGUAGGGCGGGACACGUGGUAUCCUGUCUGAAUAUGGGGGGACCAUCCUCCAAGGCUAAAUACUCCUGACUGACCGAUAGUGAACCAGUACCGUGAGGGAAAGGCGAAAAGAACCCCGGCGAGGGGAGUGAAAAAGAACCUGAAACCGUGUACGUACAAGCAGUGGGAGCACGCUUAGGCGUGUGACUGCGUACCUUUUGUAUAAUGGGUCAGCGACUUAUAUUCUGUAGCAAGGUUAACCGAAUAGGGGAGCCGAAGGGAAACCGAGUCUUAACUGGGCGUUAAGUUGCAGGGUAUAGACCCGAAACCCGGUGAUCUAGCCAUGGGCAGGUUGAAGGUUGGGUAACACUAACUGGAGGACCGAACCGACUAAUGUUGAAAAAUUAGCGGAUGACUUGUGGCUGGGGGUGAAAGGCCAAUCAAACCGGGAGAUAGCUGGUUCUCCCCGAAAGCUAUUUAGGUAGCGCCUCGUGAAUUCAUCUCCGGGGGUAGAGCACUGUUUCGGCAAGGGGGUCAUCCCGACUUACCAACCCGAUGCAAACUGCGAAUACCGGAGAAUGUUAUCACGGGAGACACACGGCGGGUGCUAACGUCCGUCGUGAAGAGGGAAACAACCCAGACCGCCAGCUAAGGUCCCAAAGUCAUGGUUAAGUGGGAAACGAUGUGGGAAGGCCCAGACAGCCAGGAUGUUGGCUUAGAAGCAGCCAUCAUUUAAAGAAAGCGUAAUAGCUCACUGGUCGAGUCGGCCUGCGCGGAAGAUGUAACGGGGCUAAACCAUGCACCGAAGCUGCGGCAGCGACACUAUGUGUUGUUGGGUAGGGGAGCGUUCUGUAAGCCUGUGAAGGUGUGCUGUGAGGCAUGCUGGAGGUAUCAGAAGUGCGAAUGCUGACAUAAGUAACGAUAAAGCGGGUGAAAAGCCCGCUCGCCGGAAGACCAAGGGUUCCUGUCCAACGUUAAUCGGGGCAGGGUGAGUCGACCCCUAAGGCGAGGCCGAAAGGCGUAGUCGAUGGGAAACAGGUUAAUAUUCCUGUACUUGGUGUUACUGCGAAGGGGGGACGGAGAAGGCUAUGUUGGCCGGGCGACGGUUGUCCCGGUUUAAGCGUGUAGGCUGGUUUUCCAGGCAAAUCCGGAAAAUCAAGGCUGAGGCGUGAUGACGAGGCACUACGGUGCUGAAGCAACAAAUGCCCUGCUUCCAGGAAAAGCCUCUAAGCAUCAGGUAACAUCAAAUCGUACCCCAAACCGACACAGGUGGUCAGGUAGAGAAUACCAAGGCGCUUGAGAGAACUCGGGUGAAGGAACUAGGCAAAAUGGUGCCGUAACUUCGGGAGAA
RNAcentral lists this ribosomal RNA (1709 nucleotides) under Escherichia coli. RNAcentral describes it as "partial 23S ribosomal RNA". It matches the Rfam family "Bacterial large subunit ribosomal RNA", at positions 1 to 1744 of the family's 2925-position model. The record is from RNAcentral. Lineage: Bacteria; Pseudomonadati; Pseudomonadota; Gammaproteobacteria; Enterobacterales; Enterobacteriaceae.